CGUAGGGUGCAAGCAUUAUCCGGAGUGACUGGGCGUAAAGAGUUGCGUAGGUGGUUUGUUAAGUGAAUAGUGAAAUCUGGGGGCUCAACCUCACAGACUAUUAUUCAAACUGGCAAACUCGAGAAUGGUAGAGGUAACUGGAAUUUCUAGUGUAGGAGUGAAAUCCGUAGAUAUUAGAAGGAACACCAAUGGCGUAGGCAGGUUACUGGACCAUUUCUGACACUGAGGCACGAAAGCGUGGGGAGCGAACCGGAUUAGAUACCCGGGUAGUCCACGCCGUAAACUAUGGAUACUAGCUGUUGGGGGUAUCGACCCCCCCAGUAGCGAAGCUAACGCGUUAAGUAUCCCGCCUGUGGAGUACGGUCGCAAGAUUA
RNAcentral lists this ribosomal RNA (374 nucleotides) under uncultured organism. Its description in RNAcentral is "bacterial SSU rRNA". It matches the Rfam family "Bacterial small subunit ribosomal RNA", at positions 526 to 896 of the family's 1533-position model. The record is from RNAcentral.